GCGUAAUAGCUCACUGGUCGAGUCGGCCUGCGCGGAAGAUGUAACGGGGCUAAACCAUGCACCGAAGCUGCGGCAGCGACACUAUGUGUUGUUGGGUAGGGGAGCGUUCUGUAAGCCGUUGAAGGUGUGCUGUGAGGCAUGCUGGAGGUAUCAGAAGUGCGAAUGCUGACAUAAGUAACGAUAAUGCGGGUGAAAAACCCGCACGCCGGAAGACCAAGGGUUCCUGUCCAACGUUAAUCGGGGCAGGGUGAGUCGACCCCUAAGGCGAGGCCGAAAGGCGUAGUCGAUGGGAAACAGGNUGCUGGAGGUAUCAGAAGUGCGAAUGCUGACAUAAGUAACGAUAAUGCGGGUGAAAAACCCGCACGCCGGAAGACCAAGGGUUCCUGUCCAACGUUAAUCGGGGCAGGGUGAGUCGACCCCUAAGGCGAGGCCGAAAGGCGUAGUCGAUGGGAAACAGGUUAAUAUUCCUGUACUUGGUGUUACUGCGAAGGGGGGACGGAGAAGGCUAUGUUAGCCGGGCGACGGUUGUCCCGGUUUAAGCAUGUAGGCGGAGAUUCCAGGUAAAUCCGGAGUCUUGCUAACGCUGAGGUGUGAUGACGAGGCACUACGGUGCUGAAGUAACAAAUGCCCUGCUUCCAGGAAAAGCCUCUAAGCAUCAGGUAACACAAAAUCGUACCCCAAACCGACACAGGUGGUCAGGUAGAGAAUACCAAGGCGCUUGAGAGAACUCGGGUGAAGGAACUAGGCAAAAUGGUGCCGUAACUUCGGGAGAAGGCACGCUGAUAUGUAGGUGAAGUGAUUUACUCAUGGAGCUGAAAUCAGUCNCCCCUAAGGCGAGGCCGAAAGGCGUAGUCGAUGGGAAACAGGUUAAUAUUCCUGUACUUGGUGUUACUGCGAAGGGGGGACGGAGAAGGCUAUGUUAGCCGGGCGACGGUUGUCCCGGUUUAAGCAUGUAGGCGGAGAUUCCAGGUAAAUCCGGAGUCUUGUUAACGCUGAGGUGUGAUGACGAGGCACUACGGUGCUGAAGUAACAAAUGCCCUGCUUCCAGGAAAAGCCUCUAAGCAUCAGGUAACACAAAAUCGUACCCCAAACCGACACAGGUGGUCAGGUAGAGAAUACCAAGGCGCUUGAGAGAACUCGGGUGAAGGAACUAGGCAAAAUGGUGCCGUAACUUCGGGAGAAGGCACGCUGAUAUGUAGGUGAAGUGAUUUACUCAUGGAGCUGAAAUCAGUCNUAACGCUGAGGUGUGAUGACGAGGCACUACGGUGCUGAAGUAACAAAUGCCCUGCUUCCAGGAAAAGCCUCUAAGCAUCAGGUAACACAAAAUCGUACCCCAAACCGACACAGGUGGUCAGGUAGAGAAUACCAAGGCGCUUGAGAGAACUCGGGUGAAGGAACUAGGCAAAAUGGUGCCGUAACUUCGGGAGAAGGCACGCUGAUAUGUAGGUGAAGUGAUUUACUCAUGGAGCUGAAAUCAGUCGAAGAUACCAGCUGGCUGCAACUGUUUAUUAAAAACACAGCACUGUGCAAACACGAAAGUGGACGUAUACGGUGUGACGCCUGCCCGGUGCCGGAAGGUUAAUUGAUGGGGUUAUCCGUAAGGAGAAGCUCUUGAUCGAAGCCCCGGUAAACGGCGGCCGUAACUAUAACGGUCCUAAGGUAGCGAAAUUCCUUGUCGGGUAAGUUCCGACCUGCACGAAUGGCGUAAUGAUGGCCAGGCUGUCUCCACCCGAGACUCAGUGAAAUUGAACUCGCUGUGAAGAUGCAGUGUACCCGCGGCAAGACGGAAAGACCCCGUGAACCUUUACUAUAGCUUGACACUGAACACUGGUCCUUGAUGUGUAGGAUAGGUGGGAGGCUUUGAAGUGUGGACGCCAGUCUGCAUGGAGCCAACCUUGAAAUACCACCCUUUAAUGGCUGGUGUUCUAACGUAGACCCGUGAUCCGGGUUGCGGACAGUGUCUGGUGGGUAGUUUGACUGGGGCGGUCUCCUCCUAAAGAGUAACGGAGGAGCACGAAGGUUAGCUAAUCCUGGUCGGACAUCAGGAGGUUAGUGCAAAGGCAUAAGCUAGCUUGACUGCGAGAGUGACGGCUCGAGCAGGUGCGAAAGCAGGUCUUAGUGAUCCGGUGGUUCUGAAUGGAAGGGCCAUCGCUCAACGGAUAAAAGGUACUCCGGGGAUAACAGGCUGAUACCGCCCAAGAGUUCAUAUCGACGGCGGUGUUUGGCACCUCGAUGUCGGCUCAUCACAUCCUGGGGCUGAAGUAGGUCCCAAGGGUAUGGCUGUUNGGACGCCAGUCUGCAUGGAGCCAACCUUGAAAUACCACCCUUUAAUGGCUGGUGUUCUAACGUAGACCCGUGAUCCGGGUUGCGGACAGUGUCUGGUGGGUAGUUUGACUGGGGCGGUCUCCUCCUAAAGAGUAACGGAGGAGCACGAAGGUUAGCUAAUCCUGGUCGGACAUCAGGAGGUUAGUGCAAAGGUAUAAGCUAGCUUGACUGCGAGAGUGACGGCUCGAGCAGGUGCGAAAGCAGGUCUUAGUGAUCCGGUGGUUCUGAAUGGAAGGGCCAUCGCUCAACGGAUAAAAGGUACUCCGGGGAUAACAGG
RNAcentral lists this ribosomal RNA (2602 nucleotides) under Citrobacter sp. L55. RNAcentral's name for it is "bacterial LSU rRNA". It matches the Rfam family "Bacterial large subunit ribosomal RNA", at positions 1132 to 2925 of the family's 2925-position model. Lineage: Bacteria; Pseudomonadati; Pseudomonadota; Gammaproteobacteria; Enterobacterales; Enterobacteriaceae. The record is from RNAcentral.